GGCCCUACGGGGCGCAGCAGGCGCGAAAACUUUACAAUGCGAGAAAUCGUGAUAAGGGAACCCCGAGUGCCCGUAAAUUCGGGCUGUCCGCCAGUGCAAAAAACUGGCGAAGAAAGAGCCGGGCAAGACCGGUGCCAGCCGCCGCGGUAAUACCGGCGGCUCGAGUGGUGGCCACUUUUAUUGGGCUUAAAGCGUUCGUAGCUGGGUUGUUAAGUCUCUUGGGAAAUCUGGCGGCUUAACCGUCAGGCGUCUAAGGGAUACUGGCAAUCUUGGAACCGGGAGAGGUGAGGGGUACUUCGGGGGUAGGAGUGAAAUCCUGUAAUCCUCGAGGGACCACCUGUGGCGAAGGCGCCUCACCAGAACGGCUUCGACAGUGAGGGACGAAAGCUGGGGGAGCAAACCGGAUUAGAUACCCGGGUAGUCCCAGCCGUAAACUAUGCGCGUUAGGUGUAUCGGUGACCACGAGUUACCGAGGUGCCGAAGGGAAACCGUGAAACGUGCCGCCUGGGAAGUACGGUCGCAAGGCUGAAACUUAAAGGAAUUGGCGGGGGAGCACCACAAGAGGUGGAGGCUGCGGUUCAAUUGGACUCAACGCCGGAAAACUCAUCGG
RNAcentral lists this ribosomal RNA (610 nucleotides) under uncultured archaeon. Its description in RNAcentral is "bacterial SSU rRNA". It matches the Rfam family "Archaeal small subunit ribosomal RNA", at positions 319 to 933 of the family's 1478-position model. The record is from RNAcentral.